RNAcentral lists this long non-coding RNA (11022 nucleotides) under Populus tremula. RNAcentral's name for it is "long non-coding RNA (PTRE_LNC001417)". Lineage: Eukaryota; Viridiplantae; Streptophyta; Magnoliopsida; Malpighiales; Salicaceae. The record is from RNAcentral.
CUCUCUAGCAAAAUUCCUGCCGAUAUUACAACUUUGAGAAGCUUGGUGCAGUUGAGCUUGUCAAACAAUGCAUUGUCUGGCAGAAUUCCAGACCUCUCCGCAUUGUGGCAGCUGAGCACAUUGGAUCUUUAGUAGGAACAAUCUAGAUGGAAUUGUGCCCAAUCUUCCAAUGAACUUGAAGAGAAUUGUCCCUGAGCCAUAAUUUACUAUCAGGACACAUUUCACCUGUGAGCGUCCUCCAACACCUCACAGUACUAGAUUUGAGUGAUAACAGGUUUUCAGGUCUCAUUCAUCGGGAAAUUCUCACUUUGCCUCUGGUGGAACGCCUUAACAUCUCAAAUAAUCAAUUCACGGAAAUGGAGCCAAUGCCAUACCCUAGGGAAGGUUUACAGCUUCGUGUGCUGGACGCACACGCUAACAGGUUGCAUGGUCAUCUGCCCAUCAGCUUGGUUAAUAUAACGAAUUUAUCAUCAAUUGAUCUAUCCCAUAAUCUGUUCUCUGGACGAAUCCCACUAGAAUAUGGAGCCAAACUGAGGAGUUCAUGGAAAAGCUUGCUCUUAGAAGACAAUUUUCUGACAGGAAAUCUUCCACCGCAGUUUUUUAACGGGACAGUGGCAGUUAGAGCCAACCUUGCCCACAAUUGCUUAAGGUGUCCACCAAACAUUCGGUUUUGCAGAGGGGGCAAAGGGCAAACACAGAGUGUGUCGAGCAGCAAGAUCACAGCACUUGAGAAGUUACUGAUAAUUCACAACGGUUCAUCAUAAAAAUUCCAUGUACUCGAGCUUAUAAUAAAGUCCAGAGAGGCAAGCUUCCACUUCCUAAUCAGUGGUUCCAGCAAAGGAGAAGGUGUCAUAAUCUGUACUCUUCAUUAAUGCAUUUCAAGUGUUGAACAAAUGUCCAUUUAUCCAUAGGAUAAAUUUAUUAUCUGUAAUGUUGAAACUUAUAUUUUCUCAACACAUCAAACAACACUUUCCCAGAUUUCAAAGUGGAUGAAAAGAGCAGUGGAUUCACAUGCUUAUCAGCAAAAACAAUCACCUCGAAAUCAGCUAAUAUACCAAAAAAAUUUGAUAUUUCAUAACUCUACAAAUACAUGUUUCUACAACAUAACAGAGCAGUUUAGAGAAACCAAUUGACACUAACAUUGCCAAGCCAUGCAAAAAAUGGGAACUGAACCAAAGCGAUGAGGAGCAAGAGAAAAUGGUGUCUGCUAGAAUCAAAGCUCCUCACCUCUGCAAAAAGUACUCUCUUCAUUGUCUUCACCAAGAAAAUUCCCAUGCAUAAGCAGGCACAUGGCAUCAAAAUGUAGUAAGAGUAUCCAGAUAAGAUCUUUCCAAGGACAGCAAAACAGAUGCCUGUGAAGGUAUACCCAGCAUAUGCAACAAUGUCUAACAAGGGCGCCUCCCCAUUACCCAAUGAAAGGAGUAUCAUUUUGAGCAAUGCAACCUGCAUAAACCAGCCGAGCAAUCCCUUGACAAAAAGCCAAUUGAGAGCUUCUGGGCUAAAUCUGGAAUCAAAUGGAAUUAAACUUCAGAGCUCAGAGCAUGAAAUUAAUUUCCAAAUUAAAGAUAAAGAAAGUUGAAGUUCAAUGAUGUGAUCCAAUUCCAGAUAUUUUUUGGCUGGUUUGGACAAAGCAUCCUGUCCAGACCAGCCACAGCCAAUUGAUAGCUUCUGGGCUAAACCUAGCAUCAAAUGGAAUUAACUUGCUCUCAGAUAAAUGAAAUUAAAGGCAAAAGAAAAUGAAAUAGAAGAUCUGGUGGAACCAAAGAUGUAACGCAACUAAUGGUUCAUCAGGCUGAGAAAUUACUUGCUUUAUUAAAGCUUACUGAUACAAGCACACAUAUCCCUGGACGCACACAAAAAUUAUGGAAGAGGAAGAACAAUAUGAAAGACAAAGAAGCUGGAGUGCAGGAUCAGGGGAUGAGAGUGAUAACAUUAAGCAACACUGUCACUCACAAUUGCCAACAUAUGAUUACUGCAACUAGGGUUAACAGAGGUGAUAUUCAUAGAUGCAUCCAACACAGAAAAGUGAUCAAGCUUGCUGGCACAUGUAGUAGUUAUUAAGGUUAAGCUGGGUUGACUAGAGAAUAUAAUCUACUUACUUUCCAUUAAGUCCCAACGACAAGCCAGCAAGAACAACAUAGGUACCAAAUGCCAUGAAUGGAAUGUACAAGUCUGGUGCAUUUAUAUCAUAGAUUGGGGGUUUAUAGGAAAGCCUGCCUCCUACUGGCUCGGUUAUCCUCGUCCAAUGUCCCUGAGAAAAGCAUGGUAAGGACAAAAGUUCACGACAAUAUGAAAAAAAUGGUGGGCUAGAAAAAAGCAUUAGAUUAGAUAUGUUACCCUGUGCAGAAAUGGAAACAAAACAACCUUCAGUUUGUUCCUCACAUAGUGGUCAUUCACUUGGAAAUAGUACUGUGGAUCAGAGAAGUAUCUACUUAUCUGUUUAUUUAAAAGAAAAUGUCAGUUAAAAUCACAUAGUUAUCAAACAAAAGUACAACAAUCUAAUCUUCCCAAGAAUGAAAUGUUGAAAUGGGAAUAGAAAAUUUUAUCUUUCUUUUCAAUGAAAAAAUUUCUAAAAUGAACCCAUAACAUUUAUGUAAAGAGGAAUGAAUUGGUGCAAUGCCAGUGGUUUAAAGACAUUGGCAUGAGGUUUCAAGGUGUCCAACAUAAAUCACAUCUGAACUGCAUGCUUAACCAGAACGGAAGCAUUUGGCUAACAGCAAGCUUAAACCACAAUGAUUUGACAUAAAAGCCUCAGAAUGCUACUUACAUUGCUUUGUACAUACUCAGAACUUGAGCCCAAAAUUUUCUCUCCAUAUGCACCCAGCCCACUUUUCAUGAGUCCUGAACCAGCUCCGUAGAAGGAAUUCCCGAAUGGAUUGGGCUGGGGGUUGGAUGGAGGUCUUGGCACCCCAGGCUGAGGUCCCACAUUGUUAUACAUUUCUGCACUUAGGAGCGAAAAAAAUCAGAACAAAUUUGUUUCCAUAAGAACUGCUCGUUAGCACUGAAUGUCUCUUAGCUGAGUCAAUCAAGCACUGAUUACUAAUGGAUGCUUAAAUUCUAAUUUUUUUCAGAAACCAAUUAAAUCCAUAAGGUCAUUCAAAUAAAAUAGAAGAAAAGUUUCAAGCUCAACAGGGAACAACUGAUCUCAGUUAAUAUUAUUAAGAAAGAGGAUGACUUAUGCAUCCUUAAAAUGAAACUGUUAACUUGAGGCUUAUGAAGUUUCAUAUAAUACUAAAAUCAAAAUACAUUCUCCUCCAUCUACUGCAUAUUCUCAUGGUUUAAUUGGCAUAUGGACCAUCUUCCAAAUACCCCCCCCCCUCCACCACUAUCCAAUCACCAGUAUAUACAGCCCUGGAAAAGAUAUAACUUACAAUCUGACCAUGUCCCAAGCAACCGACAUGGACUCAGGAUCUCAUGUGGAGUUCAUGAAACAAAAGGCAAAAGGGAGGUUCUCAGUACAUCCAUUGUUUGUAAAAACACAGCCCCACCUCCAUCCACAGUCAAAAUCCUCACGCAUCCUAUAUUCCUAAACAUAUUCCUCUUUCUUUCUAAACAAUUAAACACCGUCACUAAACCUCCCAAAACUCUCCUGCCAAUCCAAAACACAUCAAGCACCUAGCAGCACCUCCUUCAACUUCUCCAACAAUUGACAUCAUACACCACAACUAAAAAAAAAUUAACCUACCCAAAACAGCAUGCCUACAAGACCCAUUUACCGAUCCUCUUCAGAAACCAAACUAAUCACUCAAAGGCAACUAAAAACUUCUUUUUCAUCCAUGAAUCCUCUAUAGUUCCAGACUUUUCCAAUAAAAAUAAUAAAACCACCUCUCUAUGGCCCAUCACGAAACUCCCUCAAUGACACAAAAUCUUAACAACCCAUUUUAAUAAAUCCCAAGAAAUUCUUAAACCCCGAAUCCCAUCAAAAUCACAGCACAAGCACGUACCAUUCAAUCAAUCUACCUAAUCUAUUUGCAUUAAAACAUACACACAAACGCAUAUAGAAAAAUACAGUUAAGCAUGGAUCGAAGAAUAUGACCUGGAGCCGGAGAUUUAGGUGGUGUUUUCUGGCGAUCGUAUCUUGGGAUUACCGGUGAUGGGAUUUUAUUCUAAAAAGGAACCGGGGAAAAGAAAACUAUGGAUGCAAGUAACGGUUUGUGGAUUCUGGAGAAGGAAUGGGAAUUAUGUAAUGGUGGUGGCACGUGCUGUGCACGUGCAAAGGAGCGUUGGUUCUUUUUCUUUAUAUAUUUAACUAAUUUUCUUUGCAUCAUUGGGCCAAUUAGGGAUUGACAAGUAAUGGGUCGGAGCUCCAAAUUUAAAGGUGAGAGUUUUUAACAAUCUAUUAGCUUGACAACUGCCCUCCGCCGUAGUUGGAAUCAUAUUAUUUUUUAAAAACAUAACCCAAAAAAAUAUUCAAGAAAUAUUUUAUAUUAUUAUUAAAUUUAAUUUAAUGUGUCAUUCUCAAAUUUUUUUAUUAGACAUUUAAAAUUAAAUUGUAUAAAAAUUAUUUUAAUGUGAUCCAAAUAAUUUAGCUAGUUUAUAGAUAAUAAUAGACCCAAUAAGAAAUUAAUUAAAUAUAAAGAUUUAAUUAAACUUUUAAUUAGUCAAAUUAAUUUUAUUAAAAACUUAAUCAAUGAAAUAUGAAGUUUGAAAAUUUAAUUUAAAUUUAAUUGAUAAAAAAAGUUUAACUUAUACAAGCUUAAUCGGUUGAAAAGAGAAACAAAAUUGGAAAAAAAAUAAAAGUUUGGAGGUUAAUUAGGUGUUAAAUUGAAGAAUUUUGAAACCAAUGAUCAAUAUGUAAAACAACAUAAACAUUUAAGGGUUCAAUCAAAGAAAGCCAAGGGUGAAAUUGAAAGGGAUUCAAAAAAUUAGUGCUACUUGGGGGUUUCAUUACAAAAUUCCAAAGAUUUAGGGAUCAAAUUAAACAAUACCAUAAUUUCACUAUUCAUCUUCUUCUUCUCAUUUAAACAAGAAAAAAGGAUGUUCGAGUGCUCUCCUUCCGGCUCUAAUUUCUUCCUCAUCUAUUCACCAUUACAAAAUUCCAAAGAUUUAGGGAUUAAAAAAUUAGUUCUAAUUGAGGGUUUCAUUACAAAAUUCUAAAGGUUUAAGAAUCAAAUUAAAAAAUACCAUAAUUUUACUAUUCAUCAUCUUCUUCUCAUAUAAACAAGAGAAAAAGAUGUUCAAGUGCUCUCCUUCCAGCCCUAAUUUCUUCCUCAUCUCUUCACCAUUCCACACAAAUCUUAUAAAAACAUAUGCUCAGGUAUUUGUUCUUUACUCUAAACUAAAAUUCGAGCUCUUAUAACAUUUAAAAGACCAGCAAAUUCUCUCCCAAAACAUUACCCAGCAUGCUCUACCUGCAAAAAUAAUCUUGUAUUUUCCGUUGUCAAUUUCUCAACAUAAGGAUCGACAUUCCAUUAACCCAUGAAUGGCAAUACUAGUCUCAGCUAAGAAGUCACACCAACACCAGCACACCUGUGACUUCAUCUUCUCCAUUCAUAGCAGCUACAACGACAAGUCAUAGCAAUACUAGUUCAGCCGAGAGCCACGUCAAACAACAGCAAAGUCUUCAAACCGUGAGCAGCCACUGUGUAAUGGCAGUUCAACCUUCACCUCCUCUACACUGUGAGCAACAGUACUAGAGGGUCUUUUUCAUCAGCCGUCAACGGUCACGAUGCAACUGCUUCCUUCAAGUAGCAGUAGCAGAGUAACAGCUGGUUUUUUCCUCUCCAUCAUAGCAACAACAGAGGUUUACGGUUCUUCUCUAAGCCCUAAACAGCAAUGGAAGCAAACGCAUCCUCUGUGCAGUCGUGAGCCUCCAGGUAUAACCCUUCCUUUUCUUGUUACGAUACUGCAUGCUUAGAUGGACUGUGUUCUCUUUAGUUAAGAUCCUAGUUUGAAACUGGCAAAAACAUGAAUAGGAGAACCAUUUCCAUUUGGCUGGAAAAUGCGUGUUUCUGGGUAAAUAUGAAUGCUGGGGAUGUAGGUAAAUUGAGAGUUUUUGGGUGCAGAUCCUUUAUCAUUAUUAUGGUUAAUGUCUUCUUGUUUGAUGGGCUGCUAUUUAAGGCUUGGGUAUUUUGAGUUAUUUGUUUUGGAUGGGCUGGGCAAUUUGAAAUAUUUGAAUAAAUUUUAUGGGCUGUUUUGAAUUUUAGGUUGGAUAAACUAUUGAGGCUUUUGGUCAAGGCCUGGUCUGUGUGGAUAGGUUGAGCCCUUCAACCUGUUGUCCUGAAAUUUUAUAAUGAAAAAACAUAUUUUUGUAUUUUAGAAUGUGUUUGAUAAACAUGUCCUAACAAAUUUUUGAUAAUUAUUUUUGCUGAUUUGUUUGUGUUUUUGUCAAAUAAACCUUAAAUAAUUUCAAGACAAUUCUAAAAAAAAAAUCUUGUAGUAUACGUUAGGAUUUCUAGUGAUCAAAAUAUUAGAUGAUGGCUCCAUUUUUUUUUUACUGAUAAGAAACAAGAAUUUCUUAUUUUUUUAACCCAUCACCAUAAAGAUCCCGACUUGAGAGGACAAUCAACACAAUGCCAAACACAUGCGAUAGUCAGGACAAAGGGGCAAAAUUGUAUUUGGAAGGCGAUUUGAUCCUUUCAAGGUAAAAGUGAAUAAUGAACACUUCUAGCAACAAGACUAGAAAUAAUGAGUGAUUCACUCAAAUUGAUCAGUAAGAAAGAGAAUUUACUAGAUCAUGAUAGGCACUAUAAAAACUGACAUGUGUAAAAUUAAAAAUAUUGUGGAAAAGAUUUAUAUAGAAUAGUUGGAGUGAGAUGAAGUUAAGUGAUUAUGAGAAGUCGGAUCAGAAAUAUUAGACCUCACCAAUCAAGCAAAAAAAGAUUAAGAAGAAAUGGGGGGUUUAUAUUUCAAAUCAGGUAAAGAUGCAUGUUGUCUAAUUCCAAAGUAUCGAACAAUUUUUUUACAGAAAAUUUACAAGAAAAAUCCCUGCGGAAUCCAUCAAAAGACAAGCCACUUCAAAAUGAUCAUAUUUGAAAAUACUUCUGAAAAGUUUUUACUUUUGAAAAAUCUUUGUAUGUUUUUCACUUUGGCAUGUCACUCAUUAUAAUGAAACUAACUGAAAAUCUUUAUAUUUCUCAUUUGGGCAAGUCAUCCAGGAGAAUUAAACCACUUAAAAAAUCUAUGUUUUUCACAACUAGAAAGGUUGCCCAUGAAAAUUAGAGAAAUCUUUGUAUUUUUCACAGUUAAGUUGGUCAAUCAUUAUAAUGAGAACAAUGUUGAAAAACUUUAAUUUUCUUCAUGAAUAGGUAGGUCACCUAGAAAAAUAAGACUAAUUCUGAAAAAAUUUUAACUUUUACUAGUGGGCAAGUCACCCAUGAAAAUUAAACCAAUGUUAAAAUUACUUCCAUAUAUUUCACAAACGAGUAGGUCAACUAGAAAAUAAAAUCAAUAUUGAAAUCACUUUCAUGUAUUUCAUAAAUGGAUAGAUCACCUAAAAAAUAAGACCAAUGUUGAAAUUAUUUUAAUGUAUUUCAUUAAAAGGUAGGUCACUUAAAAAUAAGACCAUUUUUUAAAUCACUUUCAUGUAUUUUAUAAACGGAUAAGUCACCUGAAAAAUAAGACCAAUGUUGAAAUCACUUUUAUGUAUUUUACAAACAGGCAGGUCACCUGAAAUAAUUAAACCACUUAAAAAAAAUCUUUGAAUUUUUUCACACAAUAAGCAGGUUAUCUGGAUUGAUUAGACCAUUUUUUAAAAAAAAAAUCUUUGUAUUUUUUUACCAACGAGCAAGUCGUUUUGAACAAUUAGAUCACUUUCAAAUUUUUUUUGAUUUUUGAACAACAACGGGUAGGUCAUCUCUAACAAUUAGACCAUUUUUGAAAAUAUUUGAGUUUUUCGUUGACAAGGUAGAUCGCAUCUCAAAUGACUGCUUUCAAAGUUUUUCAAGAUUUGAAAAACAAAAAGGGCUUUCAUGCGUAUUUUUCUUUACAAACUUACUACACAAAGCAAAAAUAAAAAAAAUCAAUGCCUUUGAAUUGUAAGUAUUGUAAAGACGAAGCAAUUGUACCUAAAUUUGACACUAUUUGCUUUAAUUUAUUUUCUUAAGUAGGUUAAAAUUUAGAAAUUAAAAGAUUUGGUACCAACAUUUAUUUAGAGGUGUGAUUUGUCAACUUGUGAGAAAAUUAAAGGCUAUAUUGUGUUUUGUUUAAACAAACUAUAGAUAAAUCUAUUUUUCAAAUUUAAUUUUUAAAUCUAAAUCAAAUUUAAAUUUGAAAAAGCAUGAGUUUAUAUUUAUUUUAGAAUUUGAGUCUCUUUAUACUUUAUAAAGCAUUAACUUUUCGUUGAGUGAAUCCACCAUGAAAGGGUGAUUUUUUCCUUAGUGGGAUAGUAUGGGUUUAAGGGUUAGAAGGUAAUUUUGCAUUUUUAGCUAUAAUAUAAUUACUAAAUGGCCCAUGGAGAGGGAAAAAAAACCUUUUAGGUUUAAGGGCUUUCCAGGUUUUAUGUAUUUUUUUGUACUAGUUAAUUACUUAAAUGUCUCUCAAAGAUAAUCUCUAUUAAUAAUAAAGGCAGGGGCACUUUUGGUUUUCCUUCAUGAUUUUUUUUUUUUGUAAUUCUCAUGUUGGGUCUGGAAGUAAUUGAGUAAAUUCAUCAAUGUAAAUUAAUUUUUAUUCAGGAGGUGGUUGGCACGUGCAAGAAAAUGGGCACCGCUUGCACUCUUUAGAUGGCAUGUGCGGCACCCUGACACCUAACUCCGCUUUCCAAGGCGGCAUUAGAUGAGUCGCGUCACCCCAUCAUAGUGGUUCGAUGUGUGCACGGUGAAGAGGCAUGGUGGAGCUCCACCAAUGUGUUUUUCCCUACCUCAUAUUUCCUCUCUUUCUUCCUAGAAAACCGUGCAAGUCAUUGCAAAAAUACAAGAAAGUAUGUCUAUUUGUUUGUUAAAUUAAAUUAGAUCCUCGUUCUUUUAAUUACAAUGUAUUUGGUCUUAAAUAAUUUAUUGAGUUGAUUUAUUUUUUUAAUUUCAUUUUUUAACACUUGAUUUUUAUAUUAAAUUUAAUCAUCAUUCUUUUAAUUACAAAGUGUUUAGUCUUGAAUUAUUUAUUAGGUUAAUUUAUUUUUUAAAUUUAUCUCUUUACACCACUUGAUUUUAUAUUGGAUUUUUAUAAAUUAUUUAGGCAUUAGUUUAGGGGAAAAAACAGAGAGAGCGCAGGGGACAAGGUUUUUAACAAUUGUCUAGCUUGAAAGGACAUUUCUCAUGCUGUUUUUUUAGAUCAAAAUUGAGGAUCACAAUCUUGUUUUUCUAAAGAAGGGUAGUUGAAAUGGUUUCAAUUGGAAUGACCGCCAUGAAAUCAUUCUUUAAAGGUUUCUAAAUAACUUUCUUGCAACGAAAUAGUCAUGAAUCAUCCGUGUAUAAGUGUGCGAAGUCCGUGAUACCCAAGCAAACCAUCGAAAGUCUAGAUCGCCUGCCUUCCCUUGAACCAAUGGCCAAACAACUGCGCUCCCUCCUUUCUUCUUGCUUGCUCUCUGUCACUGUAUCCAUAGUUCUUCUCCAUAUACCAUCUCGAGUUCAUUCAGUAACAUUGAAAUCAGAUGUUGAAGCCCUCCAGGCACUGAUGCAGGCCGUCGAUCCCGUCUCGAUUGUGAGGUAUUCCUACCUCCAUAGCUGGGAUUUCGCAUUCGAUCCAUGUGAGGCUGCAGGGUUAUUUCAAGGGAUCUUGUGCACAUUCCCUGCAGACAAAUCGGCCAACCGUAUAAUGGCAAUUGAUCUUGAUCCUGCCGGGUAUGAUGGCUUUCUGACAGCGUCGAUCGGGAAUCUGACAGAGCUUACCUCCCUUAGGAUAAGCAAAAACAACUUCCGAGGGCCAAUACCAGAAACCAUAGCCAACCUUGAAAAGCUCACCAGACUAUCAUUGACUCAAAAUCUCUUCACUGGGAUAAUACCUCAAGGAAUCAUUAAUCUCAAGCAUCUUCAAAUCUUGGACCUGUCACAGAACCACCUCUCUAGCAAAAUUCCUGCCGAUAUUACAACUUUGAGAAGCUUGGUGCAGUUGAGCUUGUCAAACAAUGCAUUGUCUGGCAGAAUUCCAGACCUCUCCGCGUUGUGGCAGCUGAGCACAUUGGAUCUUAGUAGCAACAAUCUAGAUGGAAUUGUGCCCAAUCUUCCGAUGAACUUGAGAGAAAAUUGUCGCUGAGCCAAAUGUACUAUCAGGACACCUUUCACCUGUGAGCGUCCUCCAACACCUCACAGUACUAGAUUGAGUGAUAACAGGUUUGCAGGUCUCAUUCGUCAGGAAAUUCUCACUUUGCCUCUGGUGGAACGCCUUAACAUCUCAAAUAAUCAAUUCACGGAAAUGGAGCCAUUGCCAUACCCUAGGGAAGGUUUACAGCUUCGUGUGCUGGACGCACACGCUAACAGGCUGCGUGGUCAUCUGCCCAUCAGCUUGGUUAAUAUAGCGAAUUUAUCAUCAAUUGAUCUAUCCCAUAAUAAUUUCUCUGGACGAAUCCCACUAGAAUAUGGAGCCAAACUGGGGAGUUCAUGGAAAAGCUUGCUCUUAGAAGACAAUUUUCUGAUAGGAAAUCUUCCACCGCAGUUUAUUAACGGGACAGUGGCAGUUAGAGCCAACAUUGCCCGCAAUUGCUUAAGGUGUCUACCAAACAUUCGGUUUUGCAGAGGAGGGCAAAGGCCAAACUCAGAGUGUGUCGCGCAGCAUGAUCACAGCAAUUGAGAUGUUACUGUGAAUUCACAACGGAUCAUCAAACAAAUUCCAUGUACUCAAGCUUAUAAUAAAGUCCUGUGAGGCAAGCUUCCACUCCCUAAUCAAGGGUGGGAUGCGAGUUUAAUUUUCAUCCAAAAUAUAGUUCAGUGGUUCCAAGGUGUCAUAAUCUGUAGUCUUCAUUAAUGCAUUUCCAGUGUUGAACAAAUUUCCAUUUAUCCAUAGGAUAAAUUAAUUAUCUGUAAUGUUGCAACUUACAUUUUAUCAACACAUCAAACAACAGAGACUUUCCCAGAUUUAACCAUGGUUUAGUUAAUAAUCUGAGAUAAAAAAAAAUAUAUAAUAAAACAUUUAUUUUUGUAAGUUUUGUUU